GACGAACGCUGGCGGCGUGCUUAACACAUGCAAGUCGAACGGAAAGGCCCUGCUUUUGUGGGGUGCUCGAGUGGCGAACGGGUGAGUAACACGUGAGUAACCUGCCCUUGACUUUGGGAUAACUUCAGGAAACUGGGGCUAAUACCGGAUAGGAGCUCCUGCUGCAUGGUGGGGGUUGGAAAGUUUCGGCGGUUGGGGAUGGACUCGCGGCUUAUCAGCUUGUUGGUGGGGUAGUGGCUUACCAAGGCUUUGACGGGUAGCCGGCCUGAGAGGGUGACCGGCCACAUUGGGACUGAGAUACGGCCCAGACUCCUACGGUAGGCAGCAGUGGGGAAUAUUGCACAAUGGGCGGAAGCCUGAUGCAGCAACGCCGCGUGCGGGAUGCCGGCCUUCGGGUUGUAAACCGCUUUCGCCUGAGACGAAGCGUGAGUGACGGUAAUGGGUAAAGAAGCACCGGCUAACUACGUG
RNAcentral lists this ribosomal RNA (468 nucleotides) under uncultured bacterium. RNAcentral describes it as "partial 16S ribosomal RNA". It matches the Rfam family "Bacterial small subunit ribosomal RNA", at positions 28 to 507 of the family's 1533-position model. The record is from RNAcentral.